CAAACUUUCUAAAAUUGGAGGUAAAACCAUCAAGACAAAUACAAAUAAAUGUGAUGCAAAGUGUAUGACAGCAUGCAACCUUAAUCAAACUUUUAACCUGACAAAGUGUCUCAUAACUUGUAAAAAUUAUAAUUUGUGUGAACUUGGUUGUUUAUUCUACAGUCAUAUUAAAGAAAAUGACACUGGUUGUUGACCAACGGUUUAUAAUCAAAAUUUAAUAUGGCUGGCGGUAAAGGUAAAGAGAAGUUUAAAGGAACAAACACUAGAGAGCGUUUUGUCAAUUAAAGUGACUGCUACAGUUACCGAAAUAAGAAAGGGAAUAAUGACUUUAUUAAAAUACGCACUCGACAGAUCUAAUGGUGGUGAUCGGCGCGUAAAAGGCAAUUCACCCGAUGUAUAACAUUUAUACUUUUUCCUAGUUGUUCUGGAACUAUUGAUAAUAGUUAUUAUUGAAAAAUUGAUAAAUAUAUUACUGAUAAAUAAAACUUUUUUUUU
This is an RNA transcript of Hydra vulgaris (swiftwater hydra), 495 nucleotides long. RefSeq lists it as uncharacterized. The record is from RefSeq and is a predicted model, not a curated record. NCBI's taxonomy places the organism in Eukaryota, Metazoa, Cnidaria, Hydrozoa, Anthoathecata, Hydridae.